GAUGGAUGAAUGGAUGAGUGUUGGAGCAAAGGGGUAAAGAGGCUCUGCUUUCAGUGUAAGCUUCCCCAAAUUUGCCCCUCAAGCUGCUGUCUCCAGUUCACAAACCCCCAGACAGGCUGGGUGUGAGAACAAUGAGGAGACACAGUAGCAGCUUCAGGGAAAGGCUCCAGGCCCUGAAUAGGACAAGCCAGCACCGAAAAUGGAUGUACAGCUUGUUUUAAUCAUCCCACGUUGGCAGCACUGGGGAGGCCAGGCGGUGGAGAUCCAAAGUGAGCGUGGAGGCUAAGGCGAGAAGGUGCUGGAUCACCAUCUGCUCACACACACUCUGCAAGAACCAGGGCCAGUCUAGCCCAACCCCCCCAGGCCAGAGGGCUGUCCUGCAAACAUGUAUGAUUGCCCCCUCCCCAC
Non-coding RNA from Paramormyrops kingsleyae, 408 nucleotides. Lineage: Eukaryota; Metazoa; Chordata; Actinopteri; Osteoglossiformes; Mormyridae. The record is from RefSeq and is a predicted model, not a curated record.